This 253-nucleotide ribosomal RNA is filed under the name uncultured bacterium. RNAcentral describes it as "partial 16S ribosomal RNA". It matches the Rfam family "Bacterial small subunit ribosomal RNA", at positions 524 to 776 of the family's 1533-position model. The record is from RNAcentral.
UACAGAGGGUGCUAGCGUUGUUCGGAAUCAUUGGGCGUAAAGGGCGUGUAGGCGGUUUGCUAAGUCAUGUGUGAAAUCCCUCGGCUUAACCGGGGAACGACGCACGAAACUGGCAAGCUAGAGUACCAAAGAGGGGGGUGGAAUUCCCAGUGUAGCGGUGAAAUGCGUAGAUAUCGGGAGGAACACCUGUGGCGAAGGCGGCCCCCUGGUUGGAUACUGACGCUGAUACGCGAAAGCGUGGGGAGCAAACAGG